GCUUGACUAGCUCAGUUGGUAGAGCAUGGGACUCUUAAUCCCAGAGUCAGUGGGUUCAACCCUCACAUUGAGUG
Molecule: transfer RNA, 74 nt
Organism: Chlorocebus sabaeus (green monkey)
Lineage: Eukaryota; Metazoa; Chordata; Mammalia; Primates; Cercopithecidae
Rfam family: tRNA
About the family: Transfer RNA (tRNA) molecules are approximately 80 nucleotides in length.
Source: Rfam